Molecule: ribosomal RNA, 1379 nt
Filed under: Candidatus Phytoplasma solani
Lineage: Bacteria; Bacillati; Mycoplasmatota; Mollicutes; Acholeplasmatales; Acholeplasmataceae
Description: bacterial SSU rRNA
Rfam family: Bacterial small subunit ribosomal RNA
Source: RNAcentral
AAGAGUUUGAUCCUGGCUCAGGAUUAACGCUGGCGGCAUGCCUUAUACAUGCAAGUCGAACGGAAGUUUAAGCAAUUAAACUUUAGUGGCGAACGGGUGAGUAACGCGUAAGCAAUCUGCCCCUAAGACGAGGAUAACAGUUGGAAACGACUGCUAAGACUGGAUAGGAGAUAAGAAGGCAUCUUUUUAUUUUUAAAAGACCUAGCAAUAGGUAUGCUUAGGGAAGAGCUUGCGUCACAUUAGUUAGUUGGUGGGGUAAUGGCCUACCAAGACGAUGAUGUGUAGCCGGGCUGAGAGGUCGAACGGCCACAUUGGGACUGAGACACGGCCCAAACUCCUACGGGAGGCAGCAGUAAGGAAUUUUCGGCAAUGGAGGAAACUCUGACCGAGCAAUGCCGCGUGAACGAUGAAGUAUUUCGGUACGUAAAGUUCUUUUAUUAGGGAAGAAAAGAUGGUGGAAAAACCAUUAUGACGGUACCUAAUGAAUAAGCCCCGGCUAACUAUGUGCCAGCAGCCGCGGUAAUACAUAGGGGGCAAGCGUUAUCCGGAAUUAUUGGGCGUAAAGGGUGCGUAGGCGGUUAAAUAAGUUUAUGGUCUAAGUGCAACGCUCAACGUUGUGAUGCUAUAAAAACUGUUUAGCUAGAGUUGGAUAGAGGCAAGUGGAAUUCCGUGUGUAGUGGUAAAAUGCGUAAAUAUACGGAGGAACACCAGAAGCGAAGGCGGCUUGCUGGGUCUUAACUGACGCUGAGGCACGAAAGCGUGGGGAGCCAACAGGAUUAGAUACCCUGAUAAUCCACGCCCUAAACGAUGAGUACUAAACGUUGGAUAAAACCAGUGUUGAAGUUAACACAUUAAGUACUCCGCCUGAGUAGUACGUACGCAAGUAUGAAACUUAAAGGAAUUGACGGGACUCCGCACAAGCGGUGGAUCAUGUUGUUUAAUUCGAAGGUACCCGAAAAACCUCACCAGGUCUUGACAUGCUUUUGCAAAGCUGUAGAAAUACAGUGGAGGUUAUCAGAAGCACAGGUGGUGCAUGGUUGUCGUCAGCUCGUGUCGUGAGAUGUUGGGUUAAGUCCCGCAACGAGCGCAACCCUUGUUGUUAAUUGCCAUCAUUAAGUUGGGGACUUUAGCAAGACUGCCAAUGAUAAAUUGGAGGAAGGUGGGGACGACGUCAAAUCAUCAUGCCCCUUAUGACCUGGGCUACAAACGUGAUACAAUGGCUGUUACAAAGGGUAGCUAAAACGUAAUCUUCUGGCGAAUCUCAAAAAAGCACUGUGAGUUCGGAUUGAAGUCUGCAACUCGACUUCAUGAAGUUGGAAUCGCUAGUAAUCGCGAAUCAGCAUGUCGCGGUGAAUACGUUCUCGGGGUUUGUACACACC